Long non-coding RNA from Lingula anatina, 354 nucleotides. RefSeq lists it as uncharacterized. The record is from RefSeq and is a predicted model, not a curated record. NCBI's taxonomy places the organism in Eukaryota, Metazoa, Brachiopoda, Lingulata, Lingulida, Lingulidae.
UGGCAGUUAGACACAGUUGGGUGAGGACGCAACAACAGUUUGUGUGGCGCAGUCGCAAGGUCGAGUUUUAUGAGGGAGUGAAAGCAAAUACAUCGAGUUGUGGGACUUGGGCUACCUGUCUUAAUUAAGAUUAAAAUGCUCUGAAAGAUCUUAUUGUGAGGAGCGCACCGAGCUACUGCACAACAGAUACCUGCAAGCCACUAAGCCCUUAGUUCACAUGGAGGACCUAAAAGCCCAUUAAUGCACCUAUUAUAUUCAGACUUAAUAAAAUACUUUUUAAAUUCUACGAAUUUUACUUUUGAUUUGAAAUUAUGACGAUGAAGAUAAAAGUGAUUAUAAGGGAAGUAGAUUAUG